AAUAUGUAAUUGAAUUUAGUAAUUAUUUUUCAGAAAUACAACCAGAAUAAAGAGUAGGUAACCAAAUAUAAGUGACUUGUGAUCAUCAUAUCACUGACCUGGUGGGAGAUAAGUUUCUAGCAUGCUAGAGAGACAAGGACAAUAGCACUGGACAUUCUCUGUGCCAGGGACAUGACUCCAUCUUUUGCAAAAUGAAUAGAAGCUAUCAGUUCCAUCAGAUCAGUUAGGUGAAGCUUCAGUUAAGUCUACUAGUCAAUGGAUUCAGGUAGCAUUUAUUGGGUUCUUUGCAAUAAUAAUAUUUUUUCACCCAAUUAAAUGUUCAGUGGCAUUUCCAAGUGCAUUUACUUAUAUUAUCAGACUUUACUGGUAUCCCUAUGAGUGAGACCUUUUUUUCCUUUUGACAGAUGAGGCAGUUUUCACACAGGUUGAAGUGACUUCCCUAAGGUCAUAUAGCUUGAACUUAAUACGAGUGAAGGACUAGAACCCUAGUCCAGUCUGACCCAAGUUCAGGACUCUUUUUGCUCCUUAGUGCUCUCUAUCCAAACCAGGCUAAAUGAACUCCAAAGACCCGUUUAGCUUUACCACGCUCUGAUUCUGUGAUAUAUUAGCAAUAUCCUGCUUACAUCAUCCAUUCUACAGCUACGAGCUUCUAUCCCUCUAUGGCUCUGUGGCCACUGGCUUGACGUGGAGGGGAGAAGGAGAUUAAGUAGAGGGGCCAAUUAGUUUUGGACUGGUUGGUAAAUGUUUCACAACAUCUUUGAGUUUGUCCCUCUCUCCUUUGAUGAAUGGCUCUUGCCUCUUUUUGACAGAUUGAUCUUGAGUGCUGGGUAUUUUUCGCUCACCACAUUAGCUGCCAGUUUUCCAGGCUAUCCCCCCAGGACUGAGAUGAGGUGAGAGGUGGUUCAAUGAACGAGACAGAAAAUAUCAAUUAUUGAUGAGAAUAUGGAGCACUUGGAGUUCUUAUACACUGCUAGCUGGAGUGCCAAAUGAGUACAAGCUACUCUGCCAGUACCCUGCAAGCUGAACCUAAUCAACGAGUUGGCAAGUCUACUCCUAGGGGAAGCCUGCUGCCAGGUCACGUAGCCCCGUGGAGACGCCUGCAUGGUGAGGAACUGAGGCCUGCCCAAAACCACAGGAAUGAUCUUGGAUGUGAAUCUUCCAGCCCCAGAUGAAAACAUUGAAACUAAAGAAUGAAACACGUGCUGGUCAAAGUCACAGCUCUCUGAAGUAUCAGAGCUGCAACUUGAACCCAGUCUGUCUGGAUAAUUCCAGUAAGCCAGGCUCAGUCAAAACUUGAGGCAGGGGAAACAAAAGCAAAAAUGACUAUUGGGACCUCAUCAAGAUAAAACCUUCUGCACAGUGAUGGAAAUAAUCAACAAAACCAAAAGGUAACCGACGGGAUGGGAGAAGAUGACAUAUUGGAUAAAGGGUGGAAAUUCAGAGAUGAAAAGGCCAAGUUUCCUGUCCUCAAGAAAUUGCUGGUGUGAUCAGGUCGAGUUGUAAAAAUAUGAUCCACCAAGAACCAAGAUCCCCUGGAGAGGAAGCCAAUUUGCAGCCCUAAAAAGAAGCUAAAAUUGAACGCAUAUUAUAAUUCAGUGCAUUAUUGAAUGCAUGUAACGAGGAAAACCACGUUCAGAAAUGCGAGCCAAUUUGACUCAGAAUCCAUCAAGCCAUAUUACCACCAACCUCCAUGUCGUCCGACAAGCAUUUGAGUGGCUUCCCUGUACAAAAGAGAGAGGGAGAAAGAGAGAAUCCCAAGCAGGCUCCACGCUCAGCAGGGAGCCUGACAUGGGGCUCGAUCCCAAGACCCUGGGAUCAUGACCUGAGUCAAAAUCAAGAGUUGGACAGUCUACCGACUGAGCCAUCCAGGCAUCCCUAAGAGAUGUCUGUCAUUGUGAAAUUGGAAGCUCUAAUCUCUGCUUUCCGGGUCUAUAUUACACCGUGCCCUCUUUCCCCCGACAUGUGCCUGGAGACCCAAGUAUCAGAAAUCUUCCUAGAUGAUGCCAGCCUAUACUGAGAAAGGAUUCCUGUUGGAGCCAUUCCAAAUCCCAUUUCUCAGAGGACAAAGUAGAGACUCUGCUACUCUCUGAACACCCCUCUUACUGAGAACUGGCAACACCUAAUGUGGACAGAAGAAAGCUUACAUCCUUUGGAGGCAGCGCUGGAGUCUAGAAUUCGGAGAUCACAAACGUGGGUAAUGGAUAUCGAGGGCCAGUAGGUCAUCUUAUAUUGCUGAAAAAAGG
Molecule: long non-coding RNA, 2243 nt
Organism: Acinonyx jubatus (cheetah)
Lineage: Eukaryota; Metazoa; Chordata; Mammalia; Carnivora; Felidae
Exons: 11
Source: RefSeq, a predicted model, not a curated record